CCGAGGACAGACACACAGACGGGCAGAGAGACAGACGGGCAGAGAGACAGAAGGGCAGAGAGACGGGCAGAGAGACGGUCUACCUGGACGUCAUGGAUCACCUGUUGAUGCUGCUGCUGUUGCUGUGGAGCUCAGGACUCCAGGCUGAAGGAAAUCACACAUCAACAGAACCUUUCAGGUUGGUGGGAGGAGUCAGUCGCUGUGCAGGAACACUGGAGAUGAAACAUCAAGGAGACUGGAGACCAGUAGAUGGC
Anarrhichthys ocellatus (wolf-eel) is the source of this 254-nucleotide long non-coding RNA. RefSeq lists it as uncharacterized. The transcript is spliced from 3 exons. The record is from RefSeq and is a predicted model, not a curated record. NCBI's taxonomy places the organism in Eukaryota, Metazoa, Chordata, Actinopteri, Perciformes, Anarhichadidae.